AUAUCAAUAAGCGGAGGAAAAGAAACCAACAGGGAUUGCCUUAGUAGCGGCGAGUGAAGCGGCAAUAGCUCAAAUUUGAAAUCUGGCACCUUCGGUGUCCGAGUUGUAAUUUGAAGAAGGUAUCUUUGGUUUUGGCUCUUGUCUAUGUUCCUUGGAACAGGACGUCACAGAGGGUGAGAAUCCCGUGCGAUGAGAUGCCCAAUUCCAUGUAAAGUUCCUUCGACGAGUCGAGUUGUUUGGGAAUGCAGCUCUAAGUGGGUGGUAAAUUCCAUCUAAAGCUAAAUAUUGGCGAGAGACCGAUAGCGAACAAGUACUGUGAAGGAAAGAUGAAAAGAACUUUGAAAAGAGAGUGAAAAAGUACGUGAAAUUGUUGAAAGGGAAGGGCUUGAGAUCAGACUUGGAAUUUUCCAUUACAUGGAGCUUUCCGGGCCAGCAUCAGUUUGGAUGGCAGGAUAAUUGCGUUGGAAAGUAGCUCUACUUCGGUGGAGUAUUAUAGCCUUCGUCGAUACUGCCUGUCUAGACUGAGGACUGCGUCUUUGACUAGGAUGCUGGCAU
Molecule: ribosomal RNA, 555 nt
Filed under: Yamadazyma amphicis
Lineage: Eukaryota; Fungi; Ascomycota; Pichiomycetes; Serinales; Debaryomycetaceae
Description: eukaryotic LSU rRNA
Rfam family: Eukaryotic large subunit ribosomal RNA
Source: RNAcentral